UACGUAGGGGGCGAGCGUUGUCCGAAGUUACUGGGCGUAAAGCGCGCGUAGGCGGACUCUUAAGUGAGGGGUGAAAGGUUCAGGGCUCAACCCGAACACUGCCUUUCAUACUGGGAGUCUUGAGUGCGGGAGAGGCGAGUGGAAUGGUCGGUGUAGCGGUGAAAUGCGUAGAUAUCGAUCGGAACACCCAUGGCGAAGGCAGCUCGCUGGCCUGUAACUGACGCUGAGGUGCGAAAGCGUGGGGAGCGAACAGG
RNAcentral lists this ribosomal RNA (254 nucleotides) under uncultured bacterium. RNAcentral describes it as "partial 16S ribosomal RNA". It matches the Rfam family "Bacterial small subunit ribosomal RNA", at positions 524 to 776 of the family's 1533-position model. The record is from RNAcentral.